Molecule: long non-coding RNA, 579 nt
Filed under: Crocodylus porosus (Australian saltwater crocodile)
Lineage: Eukaryota; Metazoa; Chordata; Crocodylia; Crocodylidae
Description: lncRNA (ENSCPRG00005008128.1)
Source: RNAcentral
GAAGGUCAUGGAAGAAUGUCACUGCCUCCUGCUCUGAUCUCUCUACUGAACUUCCCAACAGGGCCCGGAGGGCUACCAGGGGCUGGCAUUGGCGGUGUUGGUGGCCUGGUGCCAGGUGGUGUCGGAGGUCUGGUGCCUGGUGUUGGAGGCAUAGGCGGCAUUGGAGGUGUCGGAGGUCAGGCAGCUGCAGCUGCAGCUGCCAAAGCAGCUGCCAAGGCCGCCAAAUACGGACUUGGAGGUGCGGGAGCAGCAGCAGCAGCCAAAGCAGCUGCCAAAGCAGCCAAAUAUGGGCCUGGUGGAAUUGGGCCAGGGGCUGGUGGAGUGCCAGGCAGAGUGCCAGGUGUAGUGCCUGGGGCCGGCGGGCUGCCAGGAGUGACACCUGGGGCUGGUGUAGUACCAGGCCUCGUGCCUGGUGUGGGAGUGCCAGAUGGUGGCAUUUUACCUGGAGUGGGUAAGUGUUCCAGGUCUUGCCUGCUCAGUUCUCUCUGCAUGUGCACAUAAAGUUUGUCCCACAUGAGCAGUGGUGGGUGUGGAGAGAAAGGGUGUCCUGGAGCAGGGAGAAACAGAGCAUCUCCUGAG